CAAGUAGAGUAGAAUAGUGUAUUGUUUUGCAAUGCUGGGGCUUAAGGAUCUUUUACUUCUCUGCUUGACUGUGUUGACUGCAAGCUGUUUAAGGAUUGGUCAUGCUGCUUUUUCAGGAAUGGGGUUUUCACAUGGCACCAUGCCAACAGAACACCUAAUUUUGGCAAGGUUAUUAUUGGCAGUGGUGUAUCCAAUGAUUCUGCUGAAAGACAAGGAGAACAGUCUAAUGGCUACUGGUCUGCUGAACAAGGCCAAUUCCAAUUGGCUGAGGCUGAGCUGAAACGCCUGGGUCCUUCUGUGCACUGUGGAAAUGAUACUAUGACCCUGCGUGUUCCUGGCCCAAGAAUGCCUCAUUUCCUGGUUGAUGGAGGAGUGGGGUCUCCAGUGCCUGUGUGGAAAUACCCAGCCAGCUGUGGUAUCUCUGUGAAGAGGGUUUGUCGGGAUGUUUCUUUUUCUGUUCAUUUCCGUGGCUUUCCUGUCCGACAACAGAGUGGAAGUUAUAUUCUGUCUCUGAUUUUAUUGGGGGCACCAGUGCAGGCGUCAUGCCCGGCGAGUACAGUGUGAUUGAACAGUGUGACAUUAAUGACUUUGCACCUGCCCAUACUGCCAAAGGUACCAAAAGCUGGUUCAAUGACCAUGGUGGUACUUUACUUGAUUUGCCAUCAAACCCGCCUGACCUGAACCCCACAGAGAAUCGAUGGGGUAUUGUCAAGAGGAAGAGACACCAGACCCAACAAUGCAGAUGACCCGAAGGCUGCUAUCACAGCAACCUGGGCUUCCAUUACACCUGAGCAGUGCCACAGUUUAUUGCCUCCAUGCCACGCCACAUUGAUGCAGUAAUUCAUGCAAAAGGAGACCCAACCGAGUGUUGAUUGCAUAGAAAAUAAACAUACUUUUCAGAAUUAACACAAGGGACACGGGACCAGAGAGCGAGCAAUCAAUAAACAAACAUGUCGUUAAAGAUAGUUAAAUAUCGUGACAUCCCUGGUUGUGGAAGAAUACAGCCGCUGCAAAAACCUUCUUUCGGAUUCCGACAUUAGUAAUGCGGAGUUAAAGUUUCUUUUAAAGACGUUCCAGCUCAUGUGGGAAAAACAUGAAGCAUUUGUUUGUUUCAUCUCUAUGAAGAUUUCUCUGUGAACAAGGAGGAGAUCGAUACUGGAUUUGUGGAAUGACUAAAAUUUAAAAGCCAUGCUGUGCCUUCAAUACUGGAUCCGAUAGGAAUGGUGCAGCAAUCUUAUGCGAGUAAAACAUUUUUGUACUAUGCGUCACUAUUGCUUUGUUAGAGAUCGCUUGAUGUGCCUUGAGCACUAUUGCACGAUAUUAGUGUUACCUGGGUACCUCCAGUCAUUUGUAAUAUUUGCAGAGGUUGUCUGUUAUCUUAAGACCAUGCGAAUUGGCAUCUCUGUGAUUUUGGAGGGCUCAUAUAUCAUUUUUCAAGGUUUUAUCCACCGUUUGCGGAUAAUGGAGGCUGCUAUGAAGUGUUUUGGUUUUAUUAAGUUCCCGGGAGUCUUCCGUUUGUUUAUUUAUCAAGGAAACUCAGAAUCUCAAGUAGACCUCAUAUAACAGUAUAAAACAAUAAACAAGCACAGUUCAUGAGUCAUUUAACACAAGUCCUGAACGAUUCAACAUCUUGAAAUAGCAAUUUGGCCUUCUGCAAUUUUCACAUGUGCUGCGAUUUUUGUUAAAGGCAAAAUGUAACAAAAUACCAUUUUAAAUGAAAUAUUGUGGUGCUUGCAGAGAUGCCCUGGCCUACACGUCAUAUUCCACAUACUAACGAAAACACCUUUAUUGGCUCAAAUCCUUGCAAAAUCACACAAUAAUAAUUUUUAUA
This is a long non-coding RNA of Triplophysa dalaica, 1831 nucleotides long. RefSeq lists it as uncharacterized. The transcript has 5 exons. Lineage: Eukaryota; Metazoa; Chordata; Actinopteri; Cypriniformes; Nemacheilidae. The record is from RefSeq and is a predicted model, not a curated record.